GCGGCGUGCUUAACACAUGCAAGUCGAACGAUGAACCACUUCGGUGGGGAUUAGUGGCGAACGGGUGAGUAACACGUGGGCAAUCUGCCCUUCACUCUGGGACAAGCCCUGGAAACGGGGUCUAAUACCGGAUAACACUCCUGCCUGCAUGGGUGGGGGUUAAAAGCUCCGGCGGUGAAGGAUGAGCCCGCGGCCUAUCAGCUUGUUGGUGAGGUAGUGGCUCACCAAGGCGACGACGGGUAGCCGGCCUGAGAGGGCGACCGGCCACACUGGGACUGAGACACGGCCCAGACUCCUACGGGAGGCAGCAGUGGGGAAUAUUGCACAAUGGGCGAAAGCCUGAUGCAGCGACGCCGCGUGAGGGAUGACGGCCUUCGGGUUGUAAACCUCUUUCAGCAGGGAAGAACGAAAGUGACGGUACCUGCAGAAGAAGCGCCGGCUAACUACGUGCCAGCAGCCGCGGUAAUACGUAGGGCGCAAGCGUUGUCCGGAAUUAUUGGGCGUAAAGA
Molecule: ribosomal RNA, 509 nt
Filed under: Streptomyces sp. 1S2.H7
Lineage: Bacteria; Bacillati; Actinomycetota; Actinomycetes; Kitasatosporales; Streptomycetaceae
Description: bacterial SSU rRNA
Rfam family: Bacterial small subunit ribosomal RNA
Source: RNAcentral